Molecule: ribosomal RNA, 301 nt
Filed under: uncultured bacterium
Lineage: Bacteria
Description: partial 16S ribosomal RNA
Rfam family: Bacterial small subunit ribosomal RNA
Source: RNAcentral
CAGCAGCCGCGGGAAUACGAAGGGGGCUAGCGUUGCUCGGAAUGACUGGGCGUAAAGGGCGCGUAGGCGGUUCGUACAGUUGGAUGUGAAAUUCCUGGGCUUAACCUGGGGGCUGCAUUCAAUACGUGCGGGCUUGAGUGUGGAAGAGGGUUGUGGAAUUCCCAGUGUAGAGGUGAAAUUCGUAGAUAUUGGGAAGAACACCGGUGGCGAAGGCGGCAGCCUGGUCCAUAACUGACGCUGAGGCGCGAAAGCGUGGGGAGCAAACAGGAUUAGAUACCCCGGUAGUCCCUGUCUCUUAUAA